Molecule: small nucleolar RNA, 71 nt
Organism: Silurus meridionalis
Lineage: Eukaryota; Metazoa; Chordata; Actinopteri; Siluriformes; Siluridae
Source: RefSeq, a predicted model, not a curated record
AUGGGAAUGACGAUACCUUGUGCUCUUGAGACACACUAUGAUGUUUCACGUAUUCAUACUGUCUGACCCAG